CGAUCAUCAAGAUUUAAUUACAAAAGUCAGCAAGGCCACAGGCUGUCACAGGUUGUUGUAGGCAGCAGCGUGGUGCAGGCAGGCUGCACAGCAUACUGCCAGCAAGAACAACACUUCCCGAAAUUGUCAUACUUUUUGUGCUCAGGCUGUGCAGAUGCUUUACCCACACACCUGGGCUGCAGUGGGUUUACAAGGAAAGUGCGAGUGAAUAUCUAUGUAUUGAUAAAAUAAAUGAAAACAAAUGGGGGUUGAAAUUGGGUGGUCUUUAACGUCCCUUCCAACCCAAGCCAUUCUAUGCUGACUGUUGCUGUAGGUUCAGGUGUGCAGCUCCCACAUGGCGAAGGAGAGGCUGGGACAUAGGGAUCUCAGCAGUGUCCAUAAAUACCUGAAGGCAGGGUGCAAAGAGGGCUCUUUUCAGUGGUUCCUGUUGCCAGGGCCAGAGGCAAUGGGCACAGACUGAGCACAGGAGGAUCCCCCUGAAUGCUAGGAAGCAUUUCUGUGCUGUGUGGUCACUAAGCAAUGGCACAGAUUGCCCAAAGGCCAUGGAGCCAUGGAGUCCCCAGCGUGGAGAUGAUCUUUGGAAUGAGGGGAAAUGGCCUGAAGUUGUACCACGGGAGGUUCAGAUUGCAUGUCAGGAAGAACUUCGCUGAAUGAGUGGUGCUGCAUUGGCACAGGCUGCCCAGGAAGGCGGUAGAGACACCGUCCCUGGAGGGCUUCAAGAACCGUGUGGAUGUGGCACUGAGGUACAUGCUUGGAUCAGGCGGGGCGCAGCCCGCAGGCCGUGCCGGGGCGAAGAACUACAAUUCCCAGCGCGCCCUGCGGCGCGGCGGAGGCAAUAAAAGGCAGUGUCGCGGCCGUGCGUGCCGCACACAGCGGUUGUCAGGUGCACGUAGUGUAGUAAUUGGUGUCUGUUGUCGCGCAGGUCGGCAGGUGACGCUCGGGCCGCCCCGCCAUGAGGCCGCAGGACCCGGCGCUGGAGGAGCUGAAGCGGCGGGCGUGUGAGAGCGUGGAGCUGAACGCGGCGCGGCUGGGCGAGCUGAGCCGCAGCAUCUGGCGGCGGCCCGAGCUGGCCUACCAGGAGCACCACGCGCACGACGCCAUGAUCGGCUUCUUCUCCGGGGGGGAGCUGCCGGGCGCCGCCUGGGCCGUGCGGCCCCGGUACAAGCUGGACACGGCCUUCCGCGCCGAGUGGGGCACGGCCGCCCCUCCGCAGGGCGCCCGCCCGCUCCGCGUCGCCUUCCUGUGCGAGUACGACGCGCUGCCCGGCAUCGGCCACGCGUGCGGCCACAACCUCAUCGCCGAGGUGGGGGCGGCCGCCGCGCUCGGCCUCAAGGCCGCCCUGGAGAGCCUGCCGCAGCCCGCGCCCGUCGCCGUGCAGGUCACGGUGCUGGGGACGCCCGCCGAGGAGCAGGGAGGAGGCAAGAUCGACCUGAUCAACGCCGGCGCGUUUGACGGACUGGAUGUGGUCUUCAUGGCUCACCCCUCGCAGGAAAACGCGGCUUACCUGCCCGAUGUGGCUGAGCACGAUGUGACUGUGAAAUACUAUGGAAAAGCUUCUCAUGCUGCUGCUUAUCCUUGGGAAGGAGUUAAUGCAUUAGAUGCUGCUGUUCUUGCAUACAACAAUCUGUCUGUUUUAAGACAGCAAAUGAAACCUACCUGGAGAGUUCAUGGUGUAAUAAAAAACGGUGGUGUGAAACCGAAUAUCAUUCCUUCUUACACUGAACUGGAGUUUUAUGUGCGUGCCCCUUCAAUGAAAGAUCUUUCUGUUCUGACAGAGAAGGUUGAGAACUGCUUCAAAGCUGCAGCACUGGCCACAGGAUGCAAAGUGGAAAUAAAAGGUGGUAAAAAUGAUUACUACAAUGUACUUCCAAAUAAGAGCCUGGAGAAGAUUUACAAGGAGAAUGGAAAGAAGCUUGGAAUAGAGUUUAUAUCAGAAGACUGUGUUUUGAAUGGUUUGUCAGGUAACUCAAUCUUAUUUUUUGUUAUGACAAGCUUAGCUUAUCAAGUCUUAAGUGUAUAAAAGGAUGAGAUAGAGGUAGGUUAAACAAAACAGUUUCUUCAGAAGAGAAGGUCAAAUUAGAAAACUGAAACAAUGCAGAAGGAUCAUACCUCUGGCCUGUGCUUGUUUGCUCUAGAAGCAGAGAAAUUUUCCCAGCACACAUGAAAAAUAAUUGUUUUAUGGUAUAAUUUUUGAAAAUAUUUCAAAUAAGAAACACUUAGAUUGAGGCUCCUUGUGUUACUUUGAAAUACAGAAUUCUGCUUUGUGCUAUGCAUAGAGAUUACCUUUUACAAACCUUGUUUUAUAAUUUUGUCAAGCUAACAUACAAACACAUUUAUGGCCAUCUAAGUUUACUUUUUUUUUUAAGAGAUAGAGUGAAGUUUUGAGCAUCUCAGUAACUGAUUAAAACCUUAUUCCAUGAACAGGUAGUUCUAUGCUUCUGGUUCACAAAUUCAGCAGAUUAGUUUUCCACAGGGUACCAUUCAAGUAGGUGCUCAUUUCAUCGUCUUGACUGUGUCUCAAAGCUACUUUAUUCCUCUUAGUUUCUGACCUAUAUAGCAGUAGGACUGAAUUCCUGAAUGCUCAGGUGGGUUUCUUGUUACCUUUUGCAGUUUUUUAGAAUCUUCCUCCAGGAGCGCUGCUCAUGUCUUGUAAGUGCUGCUAAUACUUAUAGCUUUUAAUGGUCAUAACUUAAAUAUAUAAUCUCUUUAGUCCACUCGUGUUAAAGGCCUUUCUCUUUGGUUAGAAGGAAAAGACUGCUCAGUAAAAAUAGCUAGUCUAAUUAGUUUAAUUUUGUUACUAGAAUCCUGUAUGUUAAAUGCAGAUCAGGUUCAGGCAGGUGAGGUCUUGAUGUCUGGGGACAGAUUCCUCAAACUUUUUUGGAUGGGGUUCAUAACAGAUGUAAUGAUAUUCUGGUUGCUUUUUUCCUCUGUUUGCCUCUUCUGAAUUGGGACAAUGCUAGCAUGUUUUCCACCAAUUGGUUUAGUUUCUUGGAGUAUAAAAUCAGUUUAUAACAAAAGUCAGGUUUCUUUUUUUCUCCCUUCAGUGUGGUACAAGUAAGAUCUACUUUGCCCAGUUAGCCUAAGAAAGGGGUGAAGCAGGGAGGGACAUUAUUUAGAACGUUCACCGUAGUAAAAUUUUCUGGAGCUCUACUGGUUGCUUCCUUCAGUGUUGUAUUGAGAGUUCAGAAGGUCAUUCAUAACUAGUGGUCCUGCUGGUUCUGGGAAGUUUUGAAUGAACUUGGUAUAAACAUCUAUCUGCUUGUAAUAGUGCUUUCAUACGUAAGUUACGUGAUACCUUAAAUAUUAGACAUUAACUCACUGAAACUCCUCAUGUGCCUGUCCUGUCCUGAACUGCUUGUCAGAUGUCAAAAUAUGGCUGAGAAGUUACAUUGUUAUUGCACACUGCUGUAGGCUUUUACUGACUUUUCUCUCCACAGUUUCUCCUGUGAAUUCUUGUGGUGGUGGGGCUGCAGGAGUAGUAACAAAGCACAGUCUCCAGAGAGGAUAUCAGUUUCUUCUGUUGAAAGGGAAGGAAAGCUCAGUUGCUGCUCCAUGUCUGUGCAGCAGAAAAGUCGUUAACAGAUGAGCAUGCUCCCUGCCGCCUCUACAUGCCUAUUAGUAUCGGUCUGCUUACAGGUAUUGCUCUAGGCAGCUAAGCAUUGUAAAGAAUUCCUUUAGUCUAUCAAAUCCCACUGCCAUGUGGCACACUCCACUCAUUUUGCACACAGAAUGAUUUAUGUGAAAGAGCUGAGUUAGACUGAGGAGGUGCCAUGACCUGUCCCCCUCCGGCUGAUGGGUUAGCUUUACUGCAGGAUGUUGGUGACCUCUUAAAGCACCCACCCUUAUAGCUUAUGCUGGUAUCUUUAGGAUUCAUAGAUUUUGCUGGCACCCUGUGCACAGGAUUGGUAUAAGAUGAACUUAGGGAACCAGCUGGUUUUGAAAACACCACUUCUGAAGUUUUGGGGCUGAAUAAAAAGGCUUCCUGGAAUUGAUUGCGUUUUUCUCUUCCACCCGUGCUUGUGGUAAUAGCUGACUUCAAUUAUGUGCUCAGUAACUUUAAUAGGCUUCAGUAUUUGCUUCAGGGUAUUUUUCUGAGAGGCUGGAGCCCUGAUACGUUUCUGUUGAAGGUGGUGCAUGAAUGUUUAUUGUGUUCAUAACUGCUAUUCUUCAUACUUCCUGAAGGAAAUCUGAUCUGUGCUUCUCUGGCAAGCUUACGGUUCCAGGUGUUUGUCUGGGAGCUAUUGGGGCAGCUGUUGCUUUAAACAUACUGAUAGGCUAUCACGAAGGGGUUAACAUUUUUCUGGCAGAGGGGAAGAUUUGACUGUAAUGUUUGUAUUUUAAAAAUGAUUUUUGAUUCGGUAAACUCGCAUCUUUUAAAGUAUCAGUGCCUCGUUUAAAUACCUUACAUUCAGCAAAAAUAAUUUAGAACUGAUAGUAAAUUGGAGAUGAACAUGGUUUCAUGUGAAUUACUUGAUAAUGAACUACGAUGCAGUGGAAAUUGCUUUCAUUUGCUGAUUGAAAGCAGGAAAAAAAGCCAGCACAAUCUUUCCAGUUGGUUGUGUGUUAGGACAAGUCUAGAACUCUUGGUUUAGUCUGGAGGAGGCAGACCUUCUAGACUCCUGGCUUGUCUUUCCAGAUUUACCAAAGAAUGUAUGGAUAGUACAGAGUCCUGAAAAUGAAAAUAACUUAGUGCUGUGCCAGGAGUUGAAUUCUCUUCAAGUUCAAACUGUAUUUAUGUGAAAAUAACAAUUUUUUGGAAAAGUCUUUCUCAUUCUGUUUAUGUACAGGCAUAGAAGAUAGAAAGCUAGUCUUGUCCUCUUUUAUCACAGAAUGUAGUCUCUGUGGACUCACUUUUAUUAGCUAUGUUUCAACAUAGAAAUCUGUAUCACUACCAAGUCUGAAAGCAUUGCUAAUGUAUUCUCAACAACAGUGUAAUGAUAUGGAGUCUACCUGAUGUGGUAGAAAGAAUUUAAAAUAGUUGGAAAAGUCCUUUCAUAAGCUAACUCUAAAGAAACUCUAAUCAGCUUUUUUGAGGUCAGAGCUGCAAAAAUCUCUUAGUUGGUCAUCCCUCCUUACCCGCCCCUACUUUGAAACAAGGUCAUUUUAUGCUUUCUCUGCUACCUGAAUUUCACAGUAACUGGUGUGUUCAUUUCUCCAGCUUCUAAACAUCUUUUUAACAAACAGGGAAGAGCUGAGUGGAUUGCCUAUUUGGCUUUAUUAAUAAUAAUAAAACUCUCAGGACAUAGUUAUGGACUCUUGGAUGAUUUAUUACAAAGAAACUACCACUUUGGGAUGGUAUCUUUAAAUAGAUGAUGUAGUCUUUGAGAUGGUUGCUGUCGCUAGGUAAUGUGCCAGUAGUGCUAGCUAGUCAGGUAUAGAAGAAUCAUUAAAAUCUUCAGCAUUGCUAUCAAGAAUUCUUUACAUCUACAAAGCAGUAACGUCUCGUGGAGUUCAGAUCUUAUUUUUUCAAGAGUUUUUGUGCUGUUAAUGUUUCCAUAACUGAGAAUGAUGAAAAAGCGCCAGAAAACAUGCUUGUCCUCAGUCUGGUUUUGUUUAAAAAAUAGAUUGCUUGCACUUCAGAGUUCCUACCUCUUGUGAAACGUUUGCAUAGUGGUGAAAGGAGGUAACUGUUGGGCCUGCUCAUAGGUGCUGGAAUGGGAUUUGAAAUAGCUAGACUAUGCUGUAUGGGAGCUUUCCUCUUUUUGGAAUUAACGGCUUACUCAGGAGAUGCAUGAUGAGAAUCUCAGCAAAUGGGAUAGGAACAGAUUGAUACAUCUUUCUUGCAGUCCAGUAACAGAUUAGUGACCAGAAGCACACUGGAGAGCAUCUGAAGAUGGCUAGUUAGGAAAAACUUGAUUCUCUGAUGGGAGAUCUUUGUGUAGAUGAUGAUUCACUGGAAAUGCUUACAUAUUAUUAUUUGGGACAAAGGAUAUUCUGUUGUAAAGAUGGGAUGGAGAUGAUAUCUUUCAUAGAUUUUCCUACAGCAUUUAAAACUCUUCAACACAGUGACUGAGAAUUUUCCUGCUACUUCUAGGUUCCACGGACUUUGGAAAUGUUACCUUUGUAGUCCCUGGGCUUCAUCCUUAUUUCUAUAUUGGCUCUGAUGCAUUGAAUCAUACUGAGCAAUACACAGAAGCUGCGGGGUCACAGAAUGCCCAGUUCUAUGCUUUGCGCACAGCAAAA
This is an RNA transcript of Numida meleagris (helmeted guineafowl), 6183 nucleotides long. It is a transcript of the gene named peptidase M20 domain containing 2, with no coding region annotated. The record is from RefSeq and is a predicted model, not a curated record. NCBI's taxonomy places the organism in Eukaryota, Metazoa, Chordata, Aves, Galliformes, Numididae. The transcript is spliced from 7 exons.